This 496-nucleotide ribosomal RNA is filed under the name uncultured bacterium. RNAcentral describes it as "partial 16S ribosomal RNA". It matches the Rfam family "Bacterial small subunit ribosomal RNA", at positions 29 to 507 of the family's 1533-position model. The record is from RNAcentral.
AUGAACGCUGGCGGCGUGCCUAAUACAUGCAAGUCGAGCGAACGGACGAGAAGCUUGCUUCUCUGAUGUUAGCGGCGGACGGGUGAGUAACACGUGGAUAACCUACCUAUAAGACUGGGAUAACUUCGGGAAACCGGAGCUAAUACCGGAUGAUAUUUUGAACCGCAUGGUUCAAAAGUGAAAGACGGUCUUGCUGUCACUUAUAGAUGGAUCCGCGCUGCAUUAGCUAGUUGGUAAGGUAACGGCUUACCAAGGCAACGAUGCAUAGCCGACCUGAGAGGGUGAUCGGCCACACUGGAACUGAGACACGGUCCAGACUCCUACGGGAGGCAGCAGUAGGGAAUCUUCCGCAAUGGGCGAAAGCCUGACGGAGCAACGCCGCGUGAGUGAUGAAGGUCUUCGGAUCGUAAAACUCUGUUAUUAGGGAAGAACAUAUGUGUAAGUAACUGUGCACAUCUUGACGGUGCCUAAUCAGAAAGCCACGGCUAACUACGUG